UAUAGGGGUUUGAUCCUGGCUCAGAUUGAACGCUGGCGGCAUGCCUUACACAUGCAAGUCGAACGGCAGCACGGGAGCAAUCCUGGUGGCGAGUGGCGAACGGGUGAGUAAUACAUCGGAACGUGUCCUGUCGUGGGGGAUAACCAGUCGAAAGACUGGCUAAUACCGCAUGAGAUCGAGAGAUGAAAGCAGGGGACCGCAAGGCCUUGCGCGAUUGGAGCGGCCGAUGUCGGAUUAGCUUGUUGGCGGGGUAAAAGCCCGCCAAGGCGACGAUCCGUAGCUGGUUUGAGAGAACGACCAGCCACACUGGGACUGAGACACGGCCCAGACUCCUACGGGAGGCAGCAGUGGGGAAUUUUGGACAAUGGGGGCAACCCUGAUCCAGCCAUGCCGCGUGUGUGAAGAAGGCCUUCGGGUUGUAAAGCACUUUCGGACGGAACGAAAUCGCACGGGUGAAUAUCCCGUGUGGAUGACGGUACUGUAAGAAGAAGCACCGGCUAACUACGUGCCAGCAGCCGCGGUAAUACGUAGGGUGCGAGCGUUAAUCGGAAUUACUGGGCGUAAAGCGUGCGCAGGCGGUUAUGCAAGA
RNAcentral lists this ribosomal RNA (589 nucleotides) under uncultured bacterium. RNAcentral's name for it is "bacterial SSU rRNA". It matches the Rfam family "Bacterial small subunit ribosomal RNA", at positions 1 to 588 of the family's 1533-position model. The record is from RNAcentral.